AGAUGGCUGAUUAAAAUUGAAUUUCAGAUAAAUAGUGAGUAAAUUCUUAGUACAUACAUGUCCCAUGAAAUAUUUGGGACAUACUUAUACUAAAGAAUUAUUCCUUGCUUAUCUGAAAUUCAAAUUUGGCUGAGUGUCCUAU
RNAcentral lists this microRNA precursor (142 nucleotides) under Ovis aries (sheep). RNAcentral describes it as "miRNA (ENSOARG00000022265.1)". The record is from RNAcentral. Lineage: Eukaryota; Metazoa; Chordata; Mammalia; Artiodactyla; Bovidae.